ACUGCAUCCUCCGUUCCAAUUUUAGUGAAACCAUAAGUUUCCGUGCUUAAUUUUAACUGUUUAUUUUAUUUAAAUUUUUUUUAUAAUUAGUAUUUUUGUUGUUAUGAGAUGAUAAAACAUAAGUAUUACUUUAUGCGUGACUUAUGUUUUUAUUUUUUUUCAAAUAAAAAGGACGAUUAAAGUUAGAUAUAAAAACUCAUGGCUGCACUUAAAAUGGGACGGAGAGAGUACU
This 232-nucleotide microRNA precursor is filed under the name Oryza sativa (Asian cultivated rice). RNAcentral describes it as "miR812v stem-loop (osa-MIR812v)". Its record names the gene osa-MIR812v. The stretch from base 20 to 213 matches the Rfam family "MIR812 microRNA precursor family". The record is from miRBase by way of RNAcentral. Lineage: Eukaryota; Viridiplantae; Streptophyta; Magnoliopsida; Poales; Poaceae.